Molecule: long non-coding RNA, 1527 nt
Filed under: Sus scrofa (pig)
Lineage: Eukaryota; Metazoa; Chordata; Mammalia; Artiodactyla; Suidae
Description: lncRNA (ENSSSCG00060063965.1)
Source: RNAcentral
ACCAAGAGUGAUCAACUGACCCGGGCAGCCAGAAGAGAUGAUAGGGAUACAUAUUCUUAACGGUGAUAGAGUGGUUUCAUAGAACAAAAUAGGCUGUUCCUGCCCGAGGGAACAUGGACUUCAGUGGAAGAGACACUCAGAAGAGAGCUUCGAAACAAGUAAGAAUUUCAGAUUGUGCUCAGUUCUUUGAAGAAAAACACAUGGGAUAAGUGAGAGACGUGUGACUCUGGGGGCAGAGGCUGUGUGGUCAGGAGGGGGCCCGUCAGUCAAAAGGCCUUGGUUGCCAAGCCAUUGAAACUCCUUCUGCGUCAUGUUGGGCAGAUUACAAUGUAGAAGAUUCCAUAGCUGGGCUGCAGCACCGUCCCUGGAGAGCACAUGACAGGAAUGCAUGUUGGGCAGGAUGUGAAGCUGAGCCCUGGGCUGAAGCAGACAAACUUGACCCCACCUGCGGACAGGACACUUCUGAAGCCGCUGCCUCGGCUUCCACCAGAAGCUGCAUCUCUGUGCUGCUAGAGAUGGAGAGCCCCGUCCUGGCUGGUUCAGUCGGGGCUGUGUUCAGCAGCUAAAGCUGCAUGUACUGUGACCGUCUGAGCCAAAGGCAGGGAAAGAUGCUCUCUAAUCCAUCUGGAAGUGAUUUUGGUAUGUGGUAUGUAAAGUAUUUAAAAAAAACAUAUAGUUUGAGUAAAACUGUUGGUGGUAGGCUAAAAGCUCCUUAAAAACAGGAAGCAUGACUGAAUCACUCUGGUUUCCUCCACUUUCCCAGACAGAAGAGUCACCAACGCAGCCUCCUUGCUCAGGCUGCGCUGCCCCAACUACAGUCAGGGACCCCCCCGCCUUCCCUCUGCUGGGAGGCACCAGCCACCUGUGACUAGUGUCCUGACACCUCCCAUGUCCCCAGCAGACACCUGCCACAGUUGCGUUCGGGGAGAACCCGAGCAAUUAGCCAGCAGCGCCCCCUGGCGCCUCUUUCACCGCAAGUGUUCGGCUCUCAACUUGUUCAACCACCCUCCACCCGCUCCACGGGCAACUUUUCCGGGAAGGCGCCUCCAAAGACCUCUGUGAGUAGCGUAGGCUGCUCUGCUCUGACAACCUCUUCGGGGUAAAUUUCUUUUCCAUUUGAACAGCUUCUCCUUAGUUAAGGAGAAACCGUUAUUGCCCGGUUGCUUUUUCGUCUUUUGGAUGGAGAGAAGCAGAGGAAUUCUGGGCGGAGGCCAACGAUUAGCUGCAACAUCUACUGAUCACUUCCAUGAAGUCUUUGAGCCUUUGUAUAAAUAAAACACCAGCCGGGGGCUCCUUCUGCUCCCAUUGAUGCCCGAGUGCCAACUACAGGUUUGACUCUGAGACCCUCCUUAAAAAAUUAGGAAAAAAAAUUUUUAAAACGUUUUUAAAUUGGAUUUUUAUUGCCUAAGGAGGGAUCUGUAAAAUACGUAGAGUGGGAAGAAUGCAGAUAAAUAAGACCUGAAAGUUGUCCUCAAAUAUAUCAAAGCCAUACUGGAUAGUGGACCUGCUGGAGAAUAGAAAAAUAAA